UACUCCAAAGCUUUAUGAUCAG
RNAcentral lists this non-coding RNA (22 nucleotides) under Sclerotinia sclerotiorum. Lineage: Eukaryota; Fungi; Ascomycota; Leotiomycetes; Helotiales; Sclerotiniaceae. The record is from RNAcentral. RNAcentral also lists the same sequence under 1 other name.